RNAcentral lists this ribosomal RNA (497 nucleotides) under uncultured bacterium. RNAcentral describes it as "partial 16S ribosomal RNA". It matches the Rfam family "Bacterial small subunit ribosomal RNA", at positions 28 to 507 of the family's 1533-position model. The record is from RNAcentral.
GAUGAACGCUGGCGGCGUGCCUAAUACAUGCAAGUCGAGCGAACAGACGAGGAGCUUGCUCCUCUGACGUUAGCGGCGGACGGGUGAGUAACACGUGGAUAACCUACCUAUAAGACUGGGAUAACUUCGGGAAACCGGAGCUAAUACCGGAUAAUAUAUUGAACCGCAUGGUUCAAUAGUGAAAGACGGUUUUGCUGUCACUUAUAGAUGGAUCCGCGCCGCAUUAGCUAGUUGGUACGGUAACGGCUUACCAAGGCAACGAUGCGUAGCCGACCUGAGAGGGUGAUCGGCCACACUGGAACUGAGACACGGUCCAGACUCCUACGGGAGGCAGCAGUAGGGAAUCGUCGGCAAUGGGCGAAAUCCUGACGGAGCAACGCCGCGUGAGUGAUGAAGGUCUUCGGAUCGUAAAACUCUGUUAUUAGGGAAGAACAAAUGUGUAAGUAACUAUGCACGUCUUGACGGUACCUAAUCAGAAAGCCACGGCUAACUACGUG